This 601-nucleotide ribosomal RNA is filed under the name uncultured bacterium. Its description in RNAcentral is "bacterial SSU rRNA". It matches the Rfam family "Bacterial small subunit ribosomal RNA", at positions 735 to 1337 of the family's 1533-position model. The record is from RNAcentral.
CAUGACUGACGCUCAUGCACGAAAGCGUGGGUAUCGAACAGGAUUAGAUACCCUGGUAGUCCACGCGGUAAACGAUGAUAACUAGUUAUCCGGGGAGAUUGGUCCUUGGGUGACCGAGCGAAAGCGUUAAGUUAUCCACCUGGGGAGUACGCCGGCAACGGUGAAACUCAAAGGAAUUGACGGGGGCCCGCACAAGCGGAGGAACAUGUGGUUUAAUUCGAUGAUACGCGAGGAACCUUACCCGGGCUCAAACGCAUGGCGCAAGACCCUGAAAGGGGUUGUUCUUCGGACGUCAUGCGAGGUGCUGCAUGGUUGUCGUCAGCUCGUGCCGUGAGGUGUCGGCUUAAGUGCCAUAACGAGCGCAACCCCCAUCUUCAGUUGCCCCCGGGUGAAGCCGGGCACUCUGGAGAGACUGCCGGCGCAAGCUGCGAGGAAGGCGGGGAUGACGUCAAAUCAGCACGGCCCUUACGUCCGGGGCGACACACGUGUUACAAUGGCGGGGCACAGCGGGAAGCCAGGUGGCGACACCGAGCUGAUCCCGAAAACCCGUCUCAGUUCGGAUCGGAGUCUGCAACCCGACUCCGUGAAGCUGGAUUCGCUA